GAGGGUAUAGCUCAGAAGUAGAGCACAUGCUUGGCAUGCAUGAGGUCCCGGGUUCAAUUCCCAGUACCUCCU
This 72-nucleotide transfer RNA is filed under the name Camelus ferus (Wild Bactrian camel). It matches the Rfam family "tRNA". Rfam says of the family: Transfer RNA (tRNA) molecules are approximately 80 nucleotides in length. The record is from Rfam by way of RNAcentral. Lineage: Eukaryota; Metazoa; Chordata; Mammalia; Artiodactyla; Camelidae.